Molecule: ribosomal RNA, 497 nt
Filed under: uncultured bacterium
Lineage: Bacteria
Description: partial 16S ribosomal RNA
Rfam family: Bacterial small subunit ribosomal RNA
Source: RNAcentral
GAUGAACGCUGGCGGCGUGCCUAAUACAUGCCAGUCGAGCGAACAGAUAAGGAGCUUGCUCCUUUGACGUUAGCGGCGGACGGGUGAGUAACACGUGGGUAACCUACCUAUAAGACUGGAAUAACUCCGGGAAACCGGGGCUAAUGCCGGAUAACAUUUAGAACCGCAUGGUUCUAAAGUGAAAGAUGGUUUUGCUAUCACUUAUAGAUGGACCCGCGCCGUAUUAGCUAGUUGGUAAGGUAACGGCUUACCAAGGCAACGAUACGUAGCCGACCUGAGAGGGUGAUCGGCCACACUGGAACAGAGACACGGUCCAGACUCCUACUGGAGGCAGCAGUAGGGAAUCUUCCGCAAUGGGCGAAAGCCUGACGGAGCAACGCCGCGUGAGUGAUGAAGGUCUUCGGAUCGUAAAACUCUGUUAUUAGGGAAGAACAAAUGUGUAAGUAACUGUGCACGUCUUGACGGUACCUAAUCAGAAAGCCACGGCUAACUACGUG